CACAUGACCUCACGGGGGUGGGACGACCCGCUAGACUUAAGCAUAUUAAUCAGCGGAGGAAAAGAAACUAACAAGGAUUCCCCUAGUAACUGCGAGUGAAGAGGGAUUAGCUCAAUGUGUGAAUCGGGCCAGGAUUAGCACUUGGCUCGAGUUGUGCACUAUAGACGGCGGAUCAGCGCUUGAAAGAUCGAGUCGGAUGUCCGAUGAAACUCGGUGCCAUUGAGGGUCAUAGUCCUGUACUUGGCUCGUCAUCUUUUGCGCAUUUGACCGACGUUCUGCGAGUCGCGUAGUUUUGUAUUGCUGCGCUAAUCGGGAGGUAGAGCCCUUCUAAAGCUAAAUAUGAUGACGUGACCGAUAGCACACAAGUACCGCGAGGGAAAGGUGAAAAGCAACCAUGCAGAAUGGGUUGAAACAGAAGUGAAAGCGCUACUGGGAUAAGGGCUGGGGAUUGCUUGUGUCGCUUGCGCGUGCUUCAGUGCUGUGCUUGUGAACGGCAUGCUUCAAUUGGGAUGGGGAGAACAGGGCCUUGGGAAUUCGGCUGGAUCCGUCCAGUGUUGUAGCCCAGGUGCCAAUGGAGCCCCUUCGGAUUGUUGAGUGUCUUGCGAUUGUCAGCCGCCCGUCUUGAAACACGGACCAAGGAGUGCACCUUGCAUGCGAGUCGAAGGGACUGGAAUCCUGGAGGCGCAGCGAAAGCGAAGGCCACGAAUCCUCACGGUGUCGGUGGCACCCGCCUUGUGCGAGGUAGAGCAUGUAGGGUGCGACCCGAAAGAUGGUGAACUAUGCCCGGGUAAGGUGAAGCCAGUGGAAACGCUGGUGGAGGCCUGUAGCGGUUCUGACGUGCAGGUCGAUCGUGUAACCUGGGUAUAGGGGCGAAAGACCUAU
This 882-nucleotide ribosomal RNA is filed under the name uncultured Cantharellales. RNAcentral describes it as "LSU rRNA". It matches the Rfam family "Eukaryotic large subunit ribosomal RNA", at positions 1 to 935 of the family's 3401-position model. The record is from RNAcentral. Lineage: Eukaryota; Fungi; Basidiomycota; Agaricomycetes; Cantharellales.